Molecule: ribosomal RNA, 265 nt
Filed under: uncultured bacterium
Lineage: Bacteria
Description: partial 16S ribosomal RNA
Source: RNAcentral
CUGCUGCCUCCCGUAGGAGUUUGGUCCGUGUCUCAGUACCAAUGUGGGGGGUUGACCUCUCAGUCCCCCUAUGUAUCGUCGCCUUGGUGAGCCGUUACCUCACCAACUAGCUAAUACAACGCAUGUCCAUCUCUGACCACCUGAGUUUUCAACCACCGAAGAUGACUCCGGUGAUGUUAUGGGGUAUUAGUACCAAUUUCUCGAUGUUAUCCCCCUGUCAAAGGUAGGUUACAUACGCGUUACGCACCCGUCCGCCGGUCGCCGG